AGAGUUUGAUCAUGGCUCAGGAUGAACGCUAGCGGCAGGCCUAACACAUGCAAGUCGAGGGGUAGAGGUUGCUUGCAACCUUGAGACCGGCGCACGGGUGCGUAACGCGUAUGCAACCUACCUUUUACAGGGGGAUAGCCCAGAGAAAUUUGGAUUAAUACCCCAUAGUAUUAUUUGAUGGCCUCAUCAGAUGAUUAAAGUUACAACGGUAAAAGAUGGGCAUGCGUCCUAUUAGCUAGAUGGAGUGGUAACGGCACCCCAUGGCGACGAUAGGUAGGGGUCCUGAGAGGGAGAUCCCCCACACUGGUACUGAGACACGGACCAGACUCCUACGGGAGGCAGCAGUGAGGAAUAUUGGACAAUGGUCGCAAGACUGAUCCAGCCAUGCCGCGUGCAGGAAGACGGCCCUAUGGGUUGUAAACUGCUUUUGUACGGGAAGAAUAAGGACUACGUGUAGUCUGAUGACGGUACCGUACGAAUAAGGAUCGGCUAACUCCGUGCCAGCAGCCGCGGUAAUACGGAGGAUCCAAGCGUUAUCCGGAAUCAUUGGGUUUAAAGGGUCCGUAGGCGGGCUGAUAAGUCAGGGGUGAAAGUUUGCCGCUCAACGGUAAAAUUGCCUUUGAUACUGUCAGUCUUGAAUAACUGUGAAGUGGUUAGAAUAUGUAGUGUAGCGGUGAAAUGCAUAGAUAUUACAUAGAAUACCGAUUGCGAAGGCAGAUCACUAACAGUUCAUUGACGCUGAUGGACGAAAGCGUGGGGAGCGAACAGGAUUAGAUACCCUAGUAGUCC
Molecule: ribosomal RNA, 789 nt
Filed under: uncultured bacterium
Lineage: Bacteria
Description: bacterial SSU rRNA
Rfam family: Bacterial small subunit ribosomal RNA
Source: RNAcentral